RNAcentral lists this ribosomal RNA (1070 nucleotides) under Salmonella enterica subsp. enterica serovar Infantis. RNAcentral describes it as "partial 23S ribosomal RNA". It matches the Rfam family "Bacterial large subunit ribosomal RNA", at positions 711 to 1773 of the family's 2925-position model. RNAcentral also lists the same sequence under 1 other name. Lineage: Bacteria; Pseudomonadati; Pseudomonadota; Gammaproteobacteria; Enterobacterales; Enterobacteriaceae. The record is from RNAcentral.
AGACCCGAAACCCGGUGAUCUAGCCAUGGGCAGGUUGAAGGUUGGGUAACACUAACUGGAGGACCGAACCGACUAAUGUUGAAAAAUUAGCGGAUGACCUGUGGCUGGGGGUGAAAGGCCAAUCAAACCGGGAGAUAGCUGGUUCUCCCCGAAAGCUAUUUAGGUAGCGCCUCGUGAAUUCAUCUCCGGGGGUAGAGCACUGUUUCGGCUAGGGGGCCAUCCCGGCUUACCAACCCGAUGCAAACUGCGAAUACCGGAGAAUGUUAUCACGGGAGACACACGGCGGGUGCUAACGUCCGUCGUGAAGAGGGAAACAACCCAGACCGCCAGCUAAGGUCCCAAAGUCAUGGUUAAGUGGGAAACGAUGUGGGAAGGCCCAGACAGCCAGGAUGUUGGCUUAGAAGCAGCCAUCAUUUAAAGAAAGCGUAAUAGCUCACUGGUCGAGUCGGCCUGCGCGGAAGAUGUAACGGGGCUAAACCAUGCACCGAAGCUGCGGCAGCGACACUCAGGUGUUGUUGGGUAGGGGAGCGUUCUGUAAGCCUGCGAAGGUGGCCUGUGAGGGUUGCUGGAGGUAUCAGAAGUGCGAAUGCUGACAUAAGUAACGAUAAAGCGGGUGAAAAGCCCGCUCGCCGGAAGACCAAGGGUUCCUGUCCAACGUUAAUCGGGGCAGGGUGAGUCGACCCCUAAGGCGAGGCCGAAAGGCGUAGUCGAUGGGAAACGGGUUAAUAUUCCCGUACUUGGUGUUACUGCGAAGGGGGGACGGAGAAGGCUAUGUUGGCCGGGCGACGGUUGUCCCGGUUUAAGCGUGUAGGUGUGUGUUCCAGGUAAAUCCGGUUCACUUUAACACUGAGGCGUGAUGACGAGGCACUACGGUGCUGAAGCAACAAAUGCCCUGCUUCCAGGAAAAGCCUCUAAGCAUCAGGUAACAUCAAAUCGUACCCCAAACCGACACAGGUGGUCAGGUAGAGAAUACCAAGGCGCUUGAGAGAACUCGGGUGAAGGAACUAGGCAAAAUGGUGCCGUAACUUCGGGAGAAGGCACGCUGACAUGUAGGUGAAGUGAUUUACUCA